RNAcentral lists this ribosomal RNA (468 nucleotides) under uncultured bacterium. RNAcentral's name for it is "partial 16S ribosomal RNA". It matches the Rfam family "Bacterial small subunit ribosomal RNA", at positions 28 to 507 of the family's 1533-position model. The record is from RNAcentral.
GACGAACGCUGGCGGCGUGCUUAACACAUGCAAGUCGAACGGAAAGGCCCUGCUUUUGUGGGGUGCUCGAGUGGCGAACGGGUGAGUGACACGUGAGUAACCUGCCCUUGACUUUGAGAUAACUUCAGGAAACUGGGGCUAAUACCGGAUAGGAGCUCCUGCUGCAUGGUGGGGGUUGGAAAGUUUCGGCGGUUGGGGAUGGACUCGCGGCUUAUCAGCAUGUUGGUGGGGUAGUGGCUUACCAAGGCUUUGACGGGUAGCCGGCCUGAGAGGGUGACCGGCCACAUUGGGACUGAGAUACGGCCCAGACUCCUACGGGAGGCAGCAGUGGGGAAUAUUGCACAAUGGGCGGAAGCCUGAUGCAGCAACGCCGCGUGCGGGAUGAUGGCCUUCGGGUUGUAAACCGCUUUCGCCUGUGACGAAGCGUGAGUGACGGUAAUGGGUAAAGAAGCACCGGCUAACUACGUG